Peromyscus californicus insignis is the source of this 706-nucleotide long non-coding RNA. RefSeq lists it as uncharacterized. The transcript has 3 exons. The record is from RefSeq and is a predicted model, not a curated record. NCBI's taxonomy places the organism in Eukaryota, Metazoa, Chordata, Mammalia, Rodentia, Cricetidae.
AAUGCCUACCGGUGACUUUGAGAUGACGAUGAGAUCCAAUGCCAUUUGAGUGGCUGAUGAAUGUUUGCCUCUUUUGGAGUCCCCAGGGUUCUAAACGUGCUUCACUGUCCUUUUGUGUGACAGUCUGACUGACUGUGGACCCAGGACUAGCAGGGUGGGCACUGGGACAUCAUUGAGAGUUCACUGAUGAGGAUAGGCUGUGUUAUUCCUUCAGACACUGGAUCUGGACCACAGGUUUACUUACCAGAUUCCAUUUGUGUCAGCGCUGGGGACAUGAUUCUGAAUUAGGAGGAAGGUCUCUGAACAGCGGAAGCUGACUGUCCCUAACGGGUGUCAUCAGAAGACACUGGGCUUUUCACAUCUCAGUACCCUCCUAUGCUAGAGUCCUAUCAGCCCAGUUGACCUCACUGCCCUCAGGAGUGCCCUGUCCUCAAGUUCAUCAAUGUGUCUUCUUCUCAUCCUUGUCAAUGACAACAUCUUGGACUCUUCCUUAGGCCUGUCCCCAGCUCCUCCACACUGGAGUUUUCAGACCAAUUUUACAGAUUGUCAGAUGGACUGAAUAAAGAGUAGGACAAAUUCUCUGCAAAGAUGGUGGCCAGCCAUUCCUCAUAGCCCUCGGUGUGUAGGUUGGACCUUCCAUCAAGAAGAGCCUGGGGCCUGCAAGCUGGCUCAUCAGGUAAGGGGGCUUGCCACAAAAGCCUGUCAU